RNAcentral lists this ribosomal RNA (548 nucleotides) under 'Saccharum officinarum' grassy shoot disease phytoplasma. Its description in RNAcentral is "bacterial SSU rRNA". It matches the Rfam family "Bacterial small subunit ribosomal RNA", at positions 491 to 1050 of the family's 1533-position model. The record is from RNAcentral. Lineage: Bacteria; Bacillati; Mycoplasmatota; Mollicutes; Acholeplasmatales; Acholeplasmataceae.
CCCCGGCAAACUAUGUGCCAGCAGCCGCGGUAAUACAUAGGGGGCGAGCGUUAUCCGGAAUUAUUGGGCGUAAAGGGUGCGUAGGCGGUUUAAUAAGUCUAUAGUUUAAUUUCAGUGCUUAACACUGUCCUGCUAUAGAAACUAUUAGACUAGAGUGAGAUAGAGGCAAGUGGAAUUCCAUGUGUAGCGGUAAAAUGCGUAAAUAUAUGGAGGAACACCAGAGGCGUAGGCGGCUUGCUGGGUCUUUACUGACGCUGAGGCACGAAAGCGUGGGGAGCAAACAGGAUUAGAUACCCUGGUAGUCCACGCCGUAAACGAUGAGUACUAAGUGUCGGGAUUACUCGGUACUGAAGUUAACACAUUAAGUACUCCGCCUGAGUAGUACGUACGCAAGUAUGAAACUUAAAGGAAUUGACGGGACUCCGCACAAGCGGUGGAUCAUGUUGUUUAAUUCGAAGAUACACGAAAAACCUUACCAGGUCUUGACAUACUCUGCAAAGCUAUAGCAAUAUAGUGGAGGUUAUCAGAGAUACAGGUGGUGCAUGGUU